Molecule: ribosomal RNA, 514 nt
Filed under: uncultured bacterium
Lineage: Bacteria
Description: bacterial SSU rRNA
Rfam family: Bacterial small subunit ribosomal RNA
Source: RNAcentral
CCACAUUGGAACUGAGACACGGUCCAAAACUCCUAUGGGAGGCAGCAGUGAGGAAUAUUGGUCAAUGGGCGAGAGCCUGAACCAGCCAAGUAGCGUGCAGGAUGACGGCCCUAUGGGUUGUAAACUGCUUUUAUAAGGGAAUAAAGUGAGUCUCGUGAGACUUUUUGCAUGUACCUUAUGAAUAAGGACCGGCUAAUUUUGUGUUAGUAGUUGUGGUAAUAUGGAAGGUCCGGGCGUUAUCCGGAUUUAUUGGGUUUAAAGGGAGCGUAGGCCGGAGAUUAAGCGUGUUGUGAAAUGUAGAUGCUCAACAUCUGCACUGCAGCGCGAACUGGUUUCCUUGAGUACGCACAAAGUGGGCGGAAUUCGUGGUGUAGCGGUGAAAUGCUUAGAUAUCACGAAGAACUCCGAUUGCGAAGGCAGCUCACUGGAGCGCAACUGACGCUGAAGCUCGAAAGUGCGGGUAUCGAACAGGAUUAGAUACCUGGUAGUCCGCACGGUAAACGAUGGAUGCCCG